Molecule: long non-coding RNA, 7207 nt
Filed under: Triticum aestivum (bread wheat)
Lineage: Eukaryota; Viridiplantae; Streptophyta; Magnoliopsida; Poales; Poaceae
Description: long non-coding RNA (TAES_LNC022417)
Source: RNAcentral
CCCGGCGUUCAAGUCAGAUUCGCUCCCCUGCUCCCUUCUCCCCUUGUGCUCCUCUCCGGGCUAUCCGCCGGCGGCGGGGCCCGAACCCCUCCACCUGCGUUCCCCCCUCCCUGUCCGGUGGCCCUGGCAGCGCCACGGGCCAACAAGUUCUGGGCCCUUGAUUCCGACGACUCUGGCUCCGAUUCUGAUCCUGAGACUCCCCCUCCUCCUCGCUCGGCAUCGGUGGUUGGGUUGCCUCCGUUAUUGGUGGCGGGCCGUCGGCGCAAGUUUGCUCCGGGGGGUCGGGGCCGGCUGUGUGCGCUUGAUGCGGGCCCGGAUGGAUGGCGUCGUGUUGGCCGUGGGCGCCGGCGCGCCGCUCCCUGGGCGGCGGAUCCUUCUUUGGUGAGCCCGGGGGUGGACGCCAUGGCCUCACCCGUCUCAUCCUCCUCGGUGGCGGUGCCCUCCGGUUCGUCGCCGUCCAGGUGCCUCCCUUCCACGUCGUCGGCGGCGCCGGCGCAAACCCUAGAUCUGGGAUCGGGUCUUGCGUUGGUGCCCCGGUCCGUGGGCCGGGUCCCUCUGGUCGGUGACNNNNNNNNNNNNNNNNNNNNNNNNNNNNNNNNNNNNNNNNNNNNNNNNNNNNNNNNNNNNNNNNNNNNNNNNNNNNNNNNNNNNNNNNNNNNNNNNNNNNNNNNNNNNNNNNNNNNNNNNNNNNNNNNNNNNNNNNNNNNNNNNNNNNNNNNNNNNNNNNNNNNNNNNNNNNNNNNNNNNNNNNNNNNNNNNNNNNNNNNNNNNNNNNNNNNNNNNNNNNNNNNNNNNNNNNNNNNNNNNNNNNNNNNNNNNNNNNNNNNNNNNNNNNNNNNNNNNNNNNNNNNNNNNNNNNNNCCCAGUUGAGUCCGCCUCCCCCUUCGGCCCUUUCGACAGAGCCCGGCCUGGCUGGCUCCGGCUAUUUAUGGGUCCGGAAGGGGUCGGUUCCCCCUUUUCUAGGGUUUCCUGCCUCCGCUGCUGAUCUGCGACGGCGCCGUUUCCCUAUCCGCCGCUUUGUCAGAUCCAAGCCUCCCCCUCCCCUCCUCCUCCCCUUCUCGUCGGUGGUGGCGAUGGACCGCUCCCGUGGGUCCUCCAGCGACGCUGUCUCCAGCCUCAAGCGGGGGCGGGACGGCUCUGGCGACGCCGCUGCGGAUCUGGAGUUUGAGGCGUCGCUCCGCGCCAAGCUCCAGGCUUCGCGGUCGGAGGCGGGUGCCGCUUCGCCGCGUGCGUCUGGUUCCGGGCCGGUGGCUUCUCCGUCCUUGGCGCCCGCAGCUCCGGUGCAUGUGGUCGACCCUUGGGAACAGGCGGCGCGGGGGAGCCGGGCGGGAUCUUCGGGCCCCUCCUCGUCUCCUUCCUCGCUUGCUCCCAUGGGUGGGCCGCCGCGGACGCCGGCGGCGGGCGGCGGCGGGCCGUCCCGCUUCGUUCCUCGUGGUGGCUCUGGGGCCCCGGCCCGGCGUCCGGUUGGCCCUGCGGCGGGACGUGGUGCUGGCGCGGGUGCUGUCGGUGGUUAUUCUGGAGAUGGCAUCCUCCCUCCGCCGCCUUCUCGUGGUGCGAACCAUAACUCCUCUCACUCCUAGGUUUCUAAUCCCAUCCUCACCUGCUUCGCGUGUCAUCGCCCUGGUCAUUUCCAGUCUCGGUGCGAGAACCCUCCUUUCUGUCUCAUCUGUAGGGAGGAUGGACACCUAACGGUGGACUGUCAGAGUAGGAUCAAGCCCCCCUCCUUCGUGCAUUUUGGGAUUGGCCUCCCGGGUUGCUCUUUUUUUGCCAUGGACAAGGAAGUCCCCGCAGCUGCUCCCAUUCCCUCCCUGUCCAACGUGGGUGUCAUUACUGUCCAAGACAAGCGUAUCUCUUCACAAGCCCUCUUGGAUGAACUUCAUAUGUGGGAUGAAGGGGGUUGGGACUGGCAGAUCCGGCAGCUUUUUGAUUUCGAGUUUGCGGCCACUUUCCCCUCUAAAGAGAGUCUUCGCAUGAUGUCUUCCUGUACCAGUUUCACUCUCCCUGUGAAUCAACUUGUUGUAUCGGUCAAAGCGGCUUCCAACGGAUCCAAGACCAUAUCUCCUCUGUCUGAUGUCUGGGUGCUCGUUGAUGAUGUGCCUCCCAGCUUGCGCACCGCGUCCUUCUUGAUGGCUUUUGGGGUGCUUAUCGGGAAACCUAUUGAGGUCGAUCUUGCUUCGCUGUCGGUUCUGGGUCCUGCUCGCCUUCGUGUGUGGUGUGUUGAUCCGAUCUGCAUCCGUGGUUCCGUUGAUGUCUUCCCGGCGGCUGGUGGCUUUCGUCUUCGAGUUCGGGUGGAAGGUGCUCCUGGUGCGGUCGCUCCUCCUCCCCCCCUCCUCCCCCGGCCUCGGGUGACGAUGACAAGAGCCGGGAGGGUGGGGGGUCCUGAGGACUCGCUGAAUGGCACGGAUCCCCGAUUCACCCAGUCUGCGUGGGAUGGGCUUUCUCCUGCUGAGCAGGAGCUGAUGAAGGACUGUGCUCCGGCUCCGGCGGGUGGUGGGGUUCAGGGCUCCGUGCCUAGUACGGUGGCUGGUCCUGCGGCCGCGGCUGCUUCGAAGGGCACCCCCUUGUCGGGGGCGUGCUCCAACAUGCCCGUGCGCCCCACCUCCCCCUCGAUGUCCGACAUUGAAGAUCUACCUCCAGUGGGACCUUCAGCGUCCAAGAAAAGGAAGAAGUCCUCGGUGAAGAAGUUUUCCGCGAAGAGCCGGGCCUCGGGGGACUCCAGGCAGUCGGCGGCUGGGCUCUGCCGCCGUCUGGAGGCGGACCUGGGAGCGGCUUCGGGCCCUUCUUCGGCGGCGGCUUCCCCUGGUCGGGCCCCUCCGGUCCCUGUGCGCUCUCCUGCCUCGACCGCUCGCAAGAGUGGCCGCGUCUCCAGCAGUGGCGAGCGCGUGGUGGAUCGGGCGGCUCGGCGUGCGGCGGCGCGUGAUCUUCCCCCCUCAGGUUUGGAUUCACCUUCAUCUCCUUCCCCCCCUUUGGCUCAGUCUCCUGUUAGGCUUGUUUUACCCUCCCAUUCCGAUGAACAUCUCCUUUCGAUAUUAGCUGAUGUUGGGAUAUGUCUAGACGCUAGCGUGGGUUCUCCCUCCUCUCUGUUGCAGUUGAUUCGUGCUAAUGAACGUGCUCAGGCUGAUAUCGCCAAGGCCAAGGAGGCCGGGACUGGGAUGGAUGCCCCUCUGGUUGUGGCCGGAGGGGAACGGGGCGAGGUUGCUAGGGGGCAGCUGUCUCCGGUGCAGAAGCGCGGGGCCGGGAAACGUGCUAAAACCUGCAAGGCUCCGUGCAGGUCGAGCUUGAGAAUUAAAAACCUUUCCCUAAGAUGAAGGCCCUGUUUUGGAACAUUAGAGGGUUCUGCGCUAGGGGGCGCAGAGACCAACUGAAGGACUUAAUGCGCGCUGAAAGAAUUGAUUUUAUCGGGCUUGUUGAGACUCUUAAACCCUCCUUUUCUCCUUCUGAACUAUCGGCGAUUGCUGGGAUUGAUAGAUUUAGGUGGAAUUUCGUGGCCUCUGUUGGUCAGUCCGGCGGCUUUCUUCUGGGCACCAAUAAUGUCACCUUUGAUUUUGUGGCUUUCGACCAUGGUAUAUACUGGGCUAGUUUGGUAGUUUCCCUACGUUCCAAUAACACCCUCCUUGAACUUAUGGUAGUAUAUGGUCCGGCUGAUCAUUCCUUGUCACAAAUUUUCUUGGAUGAGAUUUUUACUAAAAUUGAUGCCUGCCAACUGCCACUCCUGAUUGGGGGUGAUUUUAAUCUGCUUCGGUAUCCUUCUGAUAAGAGUUCUGUCAAUUUCUCCUGGGUGCGGGCCGAGGCUUUUAAUGCUUUCAUCAGGGACACGGCUAUCCGUGAGAUCCCGAGGGUUGGGGCCCGCUACACUUGGACCAACCGACAGACUUGUCCUAUUCGCUCGGUUCUUGAUAGAGUUUUUAUCUGCCCUGCUUGGGAUGGCCUUUUUCCUCGCUGCUCACUUCGGGCCCUCCCCAUCGUCGGGUCCGAUCACGCUCCUCUCAUCCUUGACGAUGGUCUCUGCCCCAAUGGCUGCCAAAGAUUUCAAUUUGACGCGUCCUGGCUUUUAGUGGAAGGGUUCCCUGAUAUGCUGGCUCAGAAGAUCUUGGGCUUUCUUACCUCCCCCCAUCGUUCAUUUGGCCCUAUGGAUGACUGGCAUUAUGUUUCUUACUCCCUACGCAAGUUCCUUAGAGGAUGGGCCAAGAACCACUUUGCUGAGUCGAGGCGCGACAAAUCUAGGUUGAGUGCUCAAAUUAGUGCCCUCGACUCCCAUGCGGACAACGGUGGGCUCUCGGCUACUGAGUGGCAAGUUCGCUAUGGCCUUGAGAAGGAGCUUCUGGCUAUUCAUCGCCAAGAGGAAGUGUAUUGGAAGCAAAGGGGUACGAUUAAUUGGACUCUUAAGGGUGAUUCUCCCACGGCUUACUUUUUCGCCAUUGCGAAUGGCAGACGGCAUAGAUGUUUGAUUAACAGCCUCAUUAUUGAUGGUGUUAGGGUCUCUGAACCGCCGGUCAUUCUCCGUCAUGUAGUUCGGUUCUUCUCUAACCUGCUUUCGGCUAAACCAGACCUCGGAUUCGCGCUAGCCCCGGGCUUCUGGGCUCCCCUUGAUAGGAUUUCUCACGCUGAUAAUGAGCUUCUGUUGAUUCCCCCUUCUGAGGAGGAAAUUUUUGAUACUAUUCGGACGGCUAAUUCUAAUGCGGCUUCAGGCCCUGAUGGUUUCUCCAUUCCGUUCUUUCGACAAUUCUGGCCCCAACUAAAAGGUUUAAUUUCUGCUGUCAUCCAAGGGUAUUGGCUGGGAUCGGUUGACAUUUCUAGACUUAACUAUGCAGUUCUCUCCCUCAUCCCUAAGGUCAAGGGUGCGGAUAUGAUUUCUCAAUUUAGGCCGAUUGCUUUAAUCAACAACUUCGCAAAGAUGCCUGCAAAGGGCAUGGCCACUAGGCUAUCUCCCAUUGCACAUCGGACCAUUAGCCCUUUCCAGUCUGCUUUCAUCAAAGGGAGGUUCAUUUUGGACGGGAUACUUUGUUUACAUGAGAUUGUUCAUGACUUACGGGUGCGAGGGACCAAGGCUGUGGUUCUCAAACUUGACUUUGAAAAGGCCUACGACUCGGUUAGCUGGAAAUUCCUUCGGCAAGUUCUUUUGGCUAAGGGCUUUGAGGGGCCUGUUAUGCAGCGCUUGAUGCAAUUGGUUUCUGGGGGGCACACGGCUGUGGCUGUCAAUGGCCAAAUUAGCCAGUUUUUUGCUAAUGGCAGGGGCCUCAGGCAAGGGGAUCCAGCGUCCCCUUUACUCUUCAACUUUGUGGCUGAUGCUCUAUCUCGCAUUCUCUCUCGAGCUGCCUUGGCUGGUCAUAUCACUCCGGUGAGCUCUCAUCUCAUUCCUAAUGGCAUCUCUCAUCUCCAAUAUGCGGAUGAUACUAUAAUUCUGAUGGAACUUAAUGAUAAUAGCCUCACCAAUCUGAAAUUCCUUCUGCUUUGUUUCGAAGCGCUCUCAGGUCUUAAAAUCAAUUUCUCUAAGAGUGAGGUUGUAGUGACUGGGGUCUCGGACGAAGAGGCGCAGCGGGUGGCCCAUCUUCUUAACUGCUCUUUGGGAUCCUACCCUCUCAAAUAUCUAGGCCUCCCCAUUUCCCCGCUUAAACUUUUGGCUAAAGACUUCGCUCCGGUGGUUACCAAAGUUGGCAACAGAGUUCUCCCUUGGCGAGGGCGAUAUAAUACGCAAGCGGGCAAGGUCGCCCUUACUAACUCCUGUCUUUCUUCGCUACCUAUGUUCUUAAUGGGAUUCUAUCUUCUCUCUAGUGGGGUUCAUAAUGGUUUUGACAAGCAUAGGGGUGCUUUCUAUUGGAACGCAGCGGACAAUACGCGUAAGUACAGAAUGGUCAGAUGGGACAUUAUAUGUCGCCCCAAGGCCAAAGGGGGUCUGGGCAUUAUUAAUACGCGAGUGAUGAAUAAUUGUCUUAUGAUCAAAUGGUGGUGGAAGAUCAUGACUCUUGAGGAACUGCCACCCUGGCUCUCUAUCCUAAAAGCUAAAUAUUUCCCCUCCUCGAGUCCUAUGUUCGCGCCGGCUGCGGGUGGGUCGCAAUUUUGGCAUCAACUGGUUAAAGUCCGGCCGAUCUUUCGGUCCCUUGUAAAAUUUGUAGUUAGGAACGGUAAGUCUACGCGGUUUUGGCUUGAUUGGUGGGUCGGGGACUCCACGCUGGUUGUUGCUUUUCCGGUUCUAUUUUCAUAUUGCGAUGAUACUGAGGUUUCUAUCUUUGAGCUCUCGGCUAGGGGUUGGGUUCUGGAUUUUCGUCAUUCUCUUUCUCCUGAAGAGUUGGAAGAUUGGCAGCGCCUUACUGCUUGCUUCCCCCUGCUCUCGGAGGAAGAGGAUGCCGUGGUGUGGCCCCUCUCCUCUUCGGGGCGUUUUUCGGUUAAAUCUGCUUACUCCAAGCUUACCCCGGGGGGGCGCCCGGUCAAGUUUAAGCAUGUCUGGUCGGCUCGAAUUCCUCCUAAGAUCAAGAUAUUUCUCUGGCAAGCUGUCCGGAGUAAGCUUCCGGCGGCCGAUCAGAUUAAGAAAAGAAACGGGCCGGGGUCCGACAGGUGUGUGCUUUGUGGGGCACUGGAGAACACCGAGCAUAUUUUCUUUCACUGCUCCUUAGCUAAACUUAUGUGGAGUUGCAUCAGACUCUGGUUACAUGUAAAUUGGUCCCCUUCCUCCUUUGAAGACCUGAGGCAUUAUGUCAAUCUUCUUUCUGGCCAUUCUAAAAGAGUCUUCUUAGUUGGAUGGGCUGCGAUUGGCUGGUCGUUGUGGACUACUAGGAAUAAGUUCUCGAUUGAACAUAUUUUUCCGGCUAAUCCUGUCAAUUGCUUAUUUAAAGCCAAUGGUUUCUUGCAGCAAUGGAGAUUAUUGACUAAAGAAGGGGACCUCCAGGCCUUCGACGCCAUGCUAUCCAAGAUGAAAUCUACGGCGUCUGGGCUUCUUCGGCUUUCUUUGAGGACGGCUUCCUGAAUGCUCUUUUGGUGUCUGGUUUAGGCUGGCCUGCGUGCCAUGUAAGGCCGCUGGCCUUGUAAUGAUACUUUAUCUUCUGCGCGUGAUACUUUGUUGGGUGCUGUUGUUGGUCAUAUACUCUGCCUGGUGGCUUUAUCUAUAAAGUCGGGCUCUCGCCUUUUCUAUAAAAAAAAAGUGUCCCUCCUUUUAUUGGCUUUGCUUACCCAUUUGUUGGCUUCCAUGGACUCCAACCACUUUGAUCUGGAG